Molecule: ribosomal RNA, 465 nt
Filed under: uncultured bacterium
Lineage: Bacteria
Description: partial 16S ribosomal RNA
Rfam family: Bacterial small subunit ribosomal RNA
Source: RNAcentral
CCUACGGGGGGCAGCAGUAGGGAAUCUUCCACAAUGGGCGAAAGCCUGAUGGAGCAACGCCGCGUGGGUGAAGAAGGUCUUCGGAUCGUAAAACCCUGUUGUUAGAGAAGAAAGUGCGUGAGAGUAACUGUUCACGUUUCGACGGUAUCUAACCAGAAAGCCCCGGCUAACUACGUGCCAGCAGCCGCGGUAAUACGUAGGUGGCAAGCGUUAUCCGGAUUUAUUGGGCGUAAAGGGAACGCAGGCGGUCUUUUAAGUCUGAUGUGAAAGCCUUCGGCUUAACCGGAGUAGUGCAUUGGAAACUGGGAGACUGGAGUGCAGAAGAGGAGAGUGGAACUCCAUGUGUAGCGGUGAAAUGCGUAGAUAUAGGGAAGAACACCAGUGGCGAAAGCGGCUCUCUGGUCUGUAACUGACGCUGAGGUUCGAAAGCGUGGGUAGCAAACAGGAUUAGAUACCCCAGUAGUC